AAUAUUUAUCAAUUAAGCUGCUAACUUAAUUUUUAGUGAUUGAAAUCAUUAAUAUUUCU
Molecule: transfer RNA, 59 nt
Filed under: Protogoniomorpha parhassus
Lineage: Eukaryota; Metazoa; Arthropoda; Insecta; Lepidoptera; Nymphalidae
Description: tRNA-Ser
Source: RNAcentral